Molecule: ribosomal RNA, 497 nt
Filed under: uncultured bacterium
Lineage: Bacteria
Description: bacterial SSU rRNA
Rfam family: Bacterial small subunit ribosomal RNA
Source: RNAcentral
AGAGUUUGAUCCUGGCGUCAGGAUGAACGCUGGCGGCGUGCUUAACACAUGCAAGUCGAACGGAUCGAUGGUAGAAGGGCCUCGGCCGGAAGCCAUGGUUAGUGGCGGACGGGUGAGUAACGCGUGGGUAACCUGCCUCACAUCGGGGGAUAACGAUUGGAAACGAUCGCUAAUACCGCAUAAGACCACGGUGCCGCAUGGCACAGGGGUAAAAACUCCGGUGAUGUGAGAUGGACCCGCGUCUGAUUAGCCAGUUGGCGGGGUAACGGCCCACCAAAGCGACGAUCAGUAGCCGACCUGAGAGGGUGAUCGGCCACAUUGGGACUGAGACACGGCCCAAACUCCUACGGGAGGCAGCAGUGGGGAAUAUUGCACAAUGGGGGAAACCCUGAUGCAGCGACGCCGCGUGAGUGAAGAAGUAUUUCGGUAUGUAAAGCUCUUUAAGCAGGAAAGAUGAUGACGGUACCUGCAGAAUAAGCACCGGCUAAAUACGUGCC